AGACGUCUACAUUAGAUACCCGGGUAGUCCCAGCCGUAAACUAUGCGCGUUAGGUGUAUCGGUGACCACGAGUUACCGAGGUGCCGAAGGGAAACCGUGAAACGGGCCGCCUGGGAAGUACGGUCGCAAGGCUGAAACUUAAAGGAAUUGGCGGGGAGCACCACAACAGGUGGAGCCUGCGGUUUAAUUGGACUCAACGCCGGGAAGCUCACCGGAUAGGACAGCAGAAUGAUUGCCGGGCUGAAGACCCUGCAUGACUAGCUG
This 264-nucleotide ribosomal RNA is filed under the name uncultured archaeon. Its description in RNAcentral is "partial 16S ribosomal RNA". It matches the Rfam family "Archaeal small subunit ribosomal RNA", at positions 717 to 982 of the family's 1478-position model. The record is from RNAcentral.